Amphiprion ocellaris (clown anemonefish) is the source of this 92-nucleotide small nucleolar RNA. Ensembl annotates it as small nucleolar SNORD12/SNORD106. NCBI's taxonomy places the organism in Eukaryota, Metazoa, Chordata, Actinopteri, Pomacentridae. The record is from Ensembl.
AAUGUGGUUAAUGAUGCUGAACUUUUUUCCCCAUCUUAUCGACCAUGGUGAAUACUGACUGAAACUAAGCCAGUUUUGUCUGAAACCACAUU